This 631-nucleotide ribosomal RNA is filed under the name uncultured bacterium. RNAcentral describes it as "bacterial SSU rRNA". The stretch from base 1 to 542 matches the Rfam family "Bacterial small subunit ribosomal RNA", at positions 338 to 873 of the family's 1533-position model. The record is from RNAcentral.
CCUACGGGAGGCAGCAGUGGGGAAUUUUGGACAAUGGGCGCAAGCCUGAUCCAGCCAUGCCGCGUGUGGGAAGAAGGCCUUCGGGUUGUAAACCACUUUUGUCAGGGAAGAAACGGCUUUUUCUAAUACAGAGAGCUAAUGACGGUACCUGAAGAAUAAGCACCGGCUAACUACGUGCCAGCAGCCGCGGUAAUACGUAGGGUGCAAGCGUUAAUCGGAAUUACUGGGCGUAAAGCGUGCGCAGGCGGCUUUGCAAGACAGAUGUGAAAUCCCCGGGCUCAACCUGGGAACUGCAUUUGUGACUGCAUGGCUAGAGUACGGUAGAGGGGGAUGGAAUUCCGCGUGUAGCAGUGAAAUGCGUAGAUAUGCGGAGGAACACCGAUGGCGAAGGCAAUCCCCUGGACCUGUACUGACGCUCAUGCACGAAAGCGUGGGGAGCAAACAGGAUUAGAUACCCUGGUAGUCCACGCCCUAAACGAUGUCAACUGGUUGUUGGACGGCUUGCUGUUCAGUAACGAAGCUAACGCGUGAAGUUGACCGCCUGGGGGUAGGUACGGCGCGAGUUAGUUAACGUACGAAGAGAGUUAGACGGCGNGAGACGNGCCGACGGACGACGACGAGGGAGGAGGAG